GCUGUGAUGGCUGAGUGAUGAAGGUGUUGGACUUGAAAUCCCCUGGUAUUUCCCCAUGCAGGUUCAAAUUUUGCUCACAGCA
This 82-nucleotide transfer RNA is filed under the name Tyto alba (common barn owl). It matches the Rfam family "tRNA". From Rfam's summary of the family: Transfer RNA (tRNA) molecules are approximately 80 nucleotides in length. The record is from Rfam by way of RNAcentral. Lineage: Eukaryota; Metazoa; Chordata; Aves; Strigiformes; Tytonidae.